This 223-nucleotide unclassified non-coding RNA is filed under the name Hevea brasiliensis (rubber tree). Lineage: Eukaryota; Viridiplantae; Streptophyta; Magnoliopsida; Malpighiales; Euphorbiaceae. The record is from RNAcentral.
GAUUAACAUACACAGGAUCACACUUACUGUAAGCACCACAUUGUCCAUAUGAUCCGCACUGAUAAUCUGGUGCUGACCAGAAUUCUUUCCAUUUGCCUUCUCUUUCGUGCCAGGUUUGGCGCAUAAGCAAUCCUGAAUAAUCCAACACUGUUCGCAGUACAACAGAAGCAUCAACGAGAGAGAAGGAAAUGGAUAUCUCAUCUUGGUUGUUAACAAAACUUAA